Molecule: ribosomal RNA, 253 nt
Filed under: uncultured bacterium
Lineage: Bacteria
Description: partial 16S ribosomal RNA
Rfam family: Bacterial small subunit ribosomal RNA
Source: RNAcentral
UACGUAGGGUGCAGGCGUUAAUCGGAAUUACUGGGCGUAAAGAGCGCGCAGGCGGUCGUUCAAGUCGAGUGUGAAAGCCCCCGGCUCAACUGGGGAGGGGCACUCGAUACUGAUCGACUCGAAGGCAGGAGAGGGUAGUGGAAUUCCCGGUGUAGUGGUGAAAUGCGUAGAUAUCGGGAGGAACACCAGUGGCGAAGGCGACUACCUGGCCUGUUCUUGACGCUGAGGCGCGAAAGCUAGGGGAGUAAACGGG